CCACUUAGUAUAUCUAUAUGUCUUGUUCUUCAUCAACAUUUGCAUUGUAACAUACCCUUUACUCAUUUGAGCAAUUUCAUGGCGAAAAAUUCUCUUGAUUAUAGUCCUUUACUUUCUAAACAAGGUGAUGAAACUGAUUAUGGUUAUGUCAGAAAGAUAUCACCUUUUGUUGUGUCAGUUACCAAAUGGACUCUCAGGACUUUGAUUUUCAUAAUCUUUGUUUCAUGGGCUGCUUUCAUUUUUCUGUCACCUUCCGAACGUGUUUAUGAGU
This 271-nucleotide long non-coding RNA is filed under the name Lathyrus oleraceus (garden pea). RNAcentral describes it as "Pisum sativum (pea) long non-coding RNA (PSAT_LNC003411)". Lineage: Eukaryota; Viridiplantae; Streptophyta; Magnoliopsida; Fabales; Fabaceae. The record is from RNAcentral.